This 447-nucleotide ribosomal RNA is filed under the name uncultured bacterium. RNAcentral describes it as "bacterial SSU rRNA". It matches the Rfam family "Bacterial small subunit ribosomal RNA", at positions 355 to 825 of the family's 1533-position model. The record is from RNAcentral.
UGGGGAAUAUUGGACAAUGGGCGAAAGCCUGAUCCAGCGAUGCCGCGUGAGUGAAGAAGGCCUUAGGGUUGUAAAGCUCUUUUACCAGGGAUGAUAAUGACAGUACCUGGAGAAUAAGCUCCGGCUAACUCCGUGCCAGCAGCCGCGGUAAUACGGAGGGAGCUAGCGUUGUUCGGAAUUACUGGGCGUAAAGCGUACGUAGGCGGUGACUCAAGUCAGAGGUGAAAGCCUGGAGCUCAACUCCAGAACUGCCUUUGAAACUAGGUCGCUAGAAUCACGGAGAGGUGAGUGGAAUUCCGAGUGUAGAGGUGAAAUUCGUAGAUAUUCGGAAGAACACCAGUGGCGAAGGCGGCUCACUGGACGUGUAUUGACGCUGAGGUACGAAAGCGUGGGGAGCAAACAGGAUUAGAUACCCGUGUAGUCCCUGAGCGGGCUGGCAAGGCGCAU